GACGAACGCUGGCGGCGUGCUUAACACAUGCAAGUCGAACGGAAAGGCCCUGCUUUUGUGGGGUGCUCGAGUGGCGAACGGGUGAGUAACACGUGAGUAACCUGCCCUUGACUUUGGGAUAACUUCAGGAAACUGGGGCUAAUACCGGAUAGGAGCUCCUGCUGCAUGGUGGGGGUUGGAAAGUUUCGGCGGUUGGGGAUGGACUCGCGGCUUAUCAGCUUGUUGGUGGGGUAGUGGCUUACCAAGGCUUUGACGGGUAGCCGGCCUGAGAGGGUGACCGGCCACAUUGGGACUGAGAUACGGCCCAGACUCCUGCGGGAGGCAGCAGUGGGGAAUAUUGCACAAUGGGCGGAAGCCUGAUGCAGCAACGCCGCGUGCGGGAUGACGGCCUUCGGGUUGUAGACCGCUUUCGCCUGUGACGAAGCGUGAGUGACGGUAAUGGGUAAAGAAGCACCGGCUAACUACGUG
This 468-nucleotide ribosomal RNA is filed under the name uncultured bacterium. Its description in RNAcentral is "partial 16S ribosomal RNA". It matches the Rfam family "Bacterial small subunit ribosomal RNA", at positions 28 to 507 of the family's 1533-position model. The record is from RNAcentral.